Chrysoperla carnea is the source of this 612-nucleotide long non-coding RNA. RefSeq lists it as uncharacterized. The transcript is spliced from 5 exons. The record is from RefSeq and is a predicted model, not a curated record. Lineage: Eukaryota; Metazoa; Arthropoda; Insecta; Neuroptera; Chrysopidae.
AUUUUUUAAUGAUUUUUCAAACAACAUCUUGAAUUUUCAUAAAAAUAUAAAAUGGAGGUAUCAGAAAAUAAAUUGGUAAUUAGAAAAAAUGAAAAUAAGCGGAUGAAUCUGUCACAAUACUUUCAUGACACGAAAAUGUUAUUGAAUCGAAUUUGGGACACAUUUCCAUCGUCCUUAGAUGAAAGUGAUUAUUUUUCCAAUUCACCAUCAUUUGUUCUGAAUAUAAUGAUCUAAAAAAUCAACUCAUUAAUAAUUGUUCACGUGAAUCGUCUAUCGGACAUCAUUUUUGUGCGGGGAAAAAUAAACCACUCUCUAACAAAUCUUAAUUCGAUUUAGAAAAACACACACAUCAUUAGGAUUCACGUUAAUUUACCAUUCCAUACAUUAAGACAGAUUAUGGAUAUUGAAAAUAUUAUCUUCUCAUAUGGACUCGUUGAUUAGGUUUUAAAAUCAAUUCAACUUGGAUUUUCAUUAAAUAUACUAUCGAUGCAGUAAAAUAUUGUUUUCAAGAUCCAAUCAAAUUCAGCAUGAAGUUUUUAUAAAAUAAGAUCCCUUAUAUUCAUUUUUUUGGUUCAAUUCAUCAAUUGGUUUAAAUUUUUUGAAGUUUAACUU